RNAcentral lists this non-coding RNA (29 nucleotides) under Rattus norvegicus (Norway rat). Lineage: Eukaryota; Metazoa; Chordata; Mammalia; Rodentia; Muridae. The record is from RNAcentral.
GAAACAGUGCCUCAUUUCUGUGUGGUUUC